RNAcentral lists this ribosomal RNA (246 nucleotides) under uncultured Actinomycetes bacterium. Its description in RNAcentral is "uncultured actinobacterium partial 16S ribosomal RNA". It matches the Rfam family "Bacterial small subunit ribosomal RNA", at positions 796 to 1041 of the family's 1533-position model. The record is from RNAcentral. Lineage: Bacteria; Bacillati; Actinomycetota; Actinomycetes.
CACGCCGUAAACGAUGGGCACUAGGUGUGGGAGGUGUCGACUCCUCCCGUGCCGAAGCUAACGCAUUAAGUGCCCCGCCUGGGGAGUACGGCCGCAAGGCUAAAACUCAAAGGAAUUGACGGGGGCCCGCACAAGCAGCGGAGCAUGUGGUUUAAUUCGACGCAACGCGAAGAACCUUACCUGGGCUUGACAUGUGCCUGAUCGCCAUAGAAAUAUGGUUUCUCUUCGGAGCAGGUUCACAGGUGG